UACGGAGGGAGCUAGCGUUAUUCGGAAUUACUGGGCGUAAAGCGCACGUAGGCGGCUUUGUAAGUUAGAGGUGAAAGCCUGGGGCUCAACCCCAGAAUUGCCUUUAAGACUGCAUCGCUUGAAUCCAGGAGAGGUGAGUGGAAUUCCGAGUGUAGAGGUGAAAUUCGUAGAUAUUCGGAAGAACACCAGUGGCGAAGGCGGCUCACUGGACUGGUAUUGACGCUGAGGUGCGAAAGCGUGGGGAGCGAACAGG
RNAcentral lists this ribosomal RNA (253 nucleotides) under uncultured bacterium. RNAcentral's name for it is "partial 16S ribosomal RNA". It matches the Rfam family "Bacterial small subunit ribosomal RNA", at positions 524 to 776 of the family's 1533-position model. The record is from RNAcentral.